RNAcentral lists this unclassified non-coding RNA (485 nucleotides) under Hevea brasiliensis (rubber tree). Lineage: Eukaryota; Viridiplantae; Streptophyta; Magnoliopsida; Malpighiales; Euphorbiaceae. The record is from RNAcentral.
CAGUGACGAUGAAUCGAAGGAAAUAGUGGGGAGGAAAAGAUUUUUCGAUCUCCCUUCUUUAGUAGUGUUAAGAGGUGUUUUGGGAAGCUAGAUGUGUAGCGAUGCUUGUGAGGGGUAGUACUCAUGGCAGAUAUAACGAGAACAGUGAUGAAAAUCUCAAAAAGUUCUUCAAGAUCUAGGUUCUUUGUGCCCUUAAUUUCAAAGACUGUUGAUUCCUAUGUAACCUAAAAUUGACAUAGUGAAGGCCCAAAUAUCAGUUGAGUGGAGAGGCAACUCAAAUUCGGCCUUUGAAGGUGAGUCUUCUUCAGUAAUGGCUACAAUGUCUCCAUCAUAGUAAAGUUCCGUUUGGGUUUACGGUGUGAAGACAAAAACAAUUUUAUAAGCUGUUAGUUAAAUAAUAAAACUCUGUUUUUGUCCAUUCAAAACUGAGGGUUUUGUUAGCAUUGCUGUUGUAUUAUUCUGUGUUGCUUUUUAUGAAACUGCUG